This 331-nucleotide ribosomal RNA is filed under the name uncultured bacterium. RNAcentral describes it as "bacterial SSU rRNA". It matches the Rfam family "Bacterial small subunit ribosomal RNA", at positions 568 to 898 of the family's 1533-position model. The record is from RNAcentral.
CGCGUAGACGGUUUUGUAAGUCAGAUGUGAAAUCCCUGGGCUCAACCUGGGAACUGCAUUUGAUACUGCUUGGCUAGAGUAUGGAAGAGGGAAGUGGAAUUUCCGGUGUAGCGGUGAAAUGCGUAGAUAUCGGAAGGAACACCAGUGGCGAAAGCGACUUCCUGGUCCAAUACUGACGUUCAUGUGCGAAAGCGUGGGGAGCAAACAGGAUUAGAUACCCUGGUAGUCCACGCCAUAAACGAUGACAACUAGAUGUUGGGAGGGUCUGCCUCUCGGUGUCGCAGCUAACGCGUUAAGUUGUCCGCCUGGGGAGUACGGCCGCAAGGUUGAA